UUGUGAUCGAGAAAAACAUUUAUAAAGAGAUCAGCGUUCGCAUGGAAAAACAAUUGCAAACUAACCGACCGUUCCUAAAGCAAGUGGCAAAAAACUUGGUGAUUAAUAUUUGAGAUUUCAAAUUCAAAUUCUAAUUGAUUCAUAUUUUUAAUUAAAUUUAUUUUUAAAUAAAAUAAACAAAACGAAUAAGAUGUUACCUAUAUCUCUAAAAGAAAAAAAAAUC
Molecule: long non-coding RNA, 223 nt
Filed under: Ananas comosus (pineapple)
Lineage: Eukaryota; Viridiplantae; Streptophyta; Magnoliopsida; Poales; Bromeliaceae
Description: long non-coding RNA (ACOM_LNC039596)
Source: RNAcentral